RNAcentral lists this signal recognition particle RNA (286 nucleotides) under Pan troglodytes (chimpanzee). Its description in RNAcentral is "Metazoan signal recognition particle RNA". It matches the Rfam family "Metazoan signal recognition particle RNA". Rfam says of the family: The signal recognition particle (SRP) is a universally conserved ribonucleoprotein. It is involved in the co-translational targeting of proteins to membranes. The record is from Rfam by way of RNAcentral. Lineage: Eukaryota; Metazoa; Chordata; Mammalia; Primates; Hominidae.
GCCGGGCGUGGUGGCGCAUGCCUGUAAUUCCAGCUACUCUGGGGGCUGAGGCAGGAGAAUCGCUUGAACCCAGGAGGCGGAGGUUGCAGUGAGCCGAGAUCGCGCCAUUGCACUUCAGCCUGGGCAACAAGAGUGAAACUCCGUCUCAAGAAAAACAAACAAACAAACCUUUUUUUUCUUUUCUUGAGAUGGAGUUUUGCUCUGUCACCCAGGCUGGAGUGCAGUGGCACGAUCUCGGCUCACUAUAACCUCUGCCUCCCGGGUUCAAGUGAUUCUCUUGCCUCAG